Molecule: ribosomal RNA, 448 nt
Filed under: uncultured bacterium
Lineage: Bacteria
Description: partial 16S ribosomal RNA
Rfam family: Bacterial small subunit ribosomal RNA
Source: RNAcentral
CCCAGACUCCUACGGGAGGCAGCAGUGGGGGAUAUUGCACAAUGGGGGGAACCCUGAUGCAGCGACGCCGCGUGGGUGAAGGAGCGUUUCGGCGCGUAAAGCCCUAUCGGCAGGGAAGAAGGAGGACGGUACCUGACUAAGAAGCCCCGGCUAACUACGUGCCAGCAGCCGCGGUAAUACGUAGGGGGCAAGCGUUAUCCGGAUUUACUGGGUGUAAAGGGGGCGCAGACGGCAGCGCAAGCCAGGAGUGAAAGCCCGGGGCCCAACCCCGGGACUGCUCUUGGAACUGCGCGGCUGGAGUGCAGGAGGGGCAGGCGGAAUUCCUAGUGUAGCGGUGAAAUGCGUAGAUAUUAGGAGGAACACCAGUGGCGAAGGCGGCCUGCUGGGCUUUUACUGACGCUGAGGCUCGAAAGUGUGGGGAGCAAACAGGAUUAGAUACCCGCGUAAC